This 1722-nucleotide ribosomal RNA is filed under the name Campylobacter coli. RNAcentral describes it as "bacterial LSU rRNA". It matches the Rfam family "Bacterial large subunit ribosomal RNA", at positions 1222 to 2925 of the family's 2925-position model. The record is from RNAcentral. Lineage: Bacteria; Pseudomonadati; Campylobacterota; Epsilonproteobacteria; Campylobacterales; Campylobacteraceae.
CAAGUGGUAGGAGAGCGUUCUAUUUGCGCCGAAGGUAUACCGGUAAGGAGUGCUGGAGCGAAUAGAAGUGAGCAUGCAGGCAUGAGUAGCGAUAAUUAAUGUGAGAAUCAUUAACGCCGUAAACCCAAGGUUUCCUACGCGAUGCUCGUCAUCGUAGGGUUAGUCGGGUCCUAAGUCGAGUCCGAAAGGGGUAGACGAUGGCAAAUUGGUUAAUAUUCCAAUACCAACAUUAGUGUGCGAUGGAAGGACGCUUAGGGCUAAGGGGGCUAGCGGAUGGAAGUGCUAGUCUAAGGUCGUAGGAGGUUAUACAGGCAAAUCCGUAUAACAAUACUCCGAGAACUGAAAGGCUUUUUGAAGUCUUCGGAUGGAUAGAAGAACCCCUGAUGCCGUCGAGCCAAGAAAAGUUUCUAAGUUUAGCUAAUGUUGCCCGUACCGUAAACCGACACAGGUGGGUGGGAUGAGUAUUCUAAGGCGCGUGGAAGAACUCUCUUUAAGGAACUCUGCAAAAUAGCACCGUAUCUUCGGUAUAAGGUGUGGUUCGCUUCGUAUUAGGAUUUACUCCGAAAGCGAAGAAACUUACAACAAAGAGUCCCUCCCGACUGUUUACCAAAAACACAGCACUCUGCUAACUCGUAAGAGGAUGUAUAGGGUGUGACGCCUGCCCGGUGCUCGAAGGUUAAUUGAUGGGGUUAGCAUUAGCGAAGCUCUUGAUCGAAGCCCGAGUAAACGGCGGCCGUAACUAUAACGGUCCUAAGGUAGCGAAAUUCCUUGUCGGUUAAAUACCGACCUGCAUGAAUGGCGUAACGAGAUGGGAGCUGUCUCAAAGAGGGAUCCAGUGAAAUUGUAGUGGAGGUGAAAAUUCCUCCUACCCGCGGCAAGACGGAGAGACCCCGUGGACCUUUACUACAGCUUGACACUGCUAUUUGGAUAAGAAUGUGCAGGAUAGGUGGGAGGCUUUGAGUAUAUGACGCCAGUUGUAUAUGAGCCAUUGUUGAGAUACCACUCUUUCUUAUUUGGGUAGCUAACCAGCUUGAGUUAUCCUCAAGUGGGACAAUGUCUGGUGGGUAGUUUGACUGGGGCGGUCGCCUCCCAAAUAAUAACGGAGGCUUACAAAGGUUGGCUCAGAACGGUUGGAAAUCGUUCGUAGAGUAUAAAGGUAUAAGCCAGCUUAACUGCAAGACAUACAAGUCAAGCAGAGACGAAAGUCGGUCUUAGUGAUCCGGUGGUUCUGUGUGGAAGGGCCAUCGCUCAAAGGAUAAAAGGUACCCCGGGGAUAACAGGCUGAUCUCCCCCAAGAGCUCACAUCGACGGGGAGGUUUGGCACCUCGAUGUCGGCUCAUCGCAUCCUGGGGCUGGAGCAGGUCCCAAGGGUAUGGCUGUUCGCCAUUUAAAGCGGUACGCGAGCUGGGUUCAGAACGUCGUGAGACAGUUCGGUCCCUAUCUGCCGUGGGCGUAAGAAGAUUGAAGAGAUUUGACCCUAGUACGAGAGGACCGGGUUGAACAAACCACUGGUGUAGCUGUUGUUCUGCCAAGAGCAUCGCAGCGUAGCUAAGUUUGGAAAGGAUAAACGCUGAAAGCAUCUAAGCGUGAAGCCAACUCUAAGAUGAAUCUUCUCUAAGCUCUCUAGAAGACUACUAGUUUGAUAGGCUGGGUGUGUAAUGGAUGAAAGUCCUUUAGCUGACCAGUACUAAUAGAGCGUUUGGCUUAUCUUUAAUAAAGCAU